RNAcentral lists this ribosomal RNA (301 nucleotides) under uncultured bacterium. RNAcentral's name for it is "partial 16S ribosomal RNA". It matches the Rfam family "Bacterial small subunit ribosomal RNA", at positions 509 to 809 of the family's 1533-position model. The record is from RNAcentral.
CAGCAGCCACGGGAAUACAGAGGGUGCGAGCGUUAAUCGGAUUUACUGGGCGUAAAGCGUGCGUAGGCGGCUUUUUAAGUCGGAUGUGAAAUCCCUGAGCUUAACUUAGGAAUUGCAUUCGAUACUGGGAAGCUAGAGUAUGGGAGAGGAUGGUAGAAUUCCAGGUGUAGCGGUGAAAUGCGUAGAGAUCUGGAGGAAUACCGAUGGCGAAGGCAGCCAUCUGGCCUAAUACUGACGCUGAGGUACGAAAGCAUGGGGAGCAAACAGGAUUAGAUACCCGUGUAGUCCCUGUCUCUUAUAA